AUACGGAGGGUGCAAGCGUUAAUCGGAAUUACUGGGCGUAAAGAGUACGUAGGUGGUUUAUUAAGUCAGAUGUGAAAGCCCCGGGCUCAACCUGGGAACUGCAUUUGAAACUAGUAAACUAGAGUAUGGUAGAGGGGGGUAGAAUUUCUAGUGUAGCGGUGAAAUGCGUAGAUAUUAGAAGGAAUACCAGUGGCGAAGGCGGCCCCCUGGACCAAUACUGACACUGAGGUACGAAAGCGUGGGGAGCAAACAGGAUUAGAAACCCUAGUAGUCC
This 274-nucleotide ribosomal RNA is filed under the name uncultured bacterium. Its description in RNAcentral is "partial 16S ribosomal RNA". It matches the Rfam family "Bacterial small subunit ribosomal RNA", at positions 523 to 796 of the family's 1533-position model. The record is from RNAcentral.